ACGGGGUGCAGCAGGCGCGAAAACUUUACACUGCGCGAAAGCGCGAUAAGGGGACCUCGAGUGCGUGCGCAAUGCGUACGCUUUUCAGAUGCCUAAAAAGCAUGUGGAAUAAGGGCCGGGCAAGACCGGUGCCAGCCGCCGCGGUAACACCGGCGGCUCAAGUGGUGGCCGCUAUUAUUGGGCUUAAAGGGUCCGUAGCCGGACCAGUUAGUCCCUUGGGAAAUCUUACGGCUUAACCGUAAGGCUGCCAAUGGAUACUGCUGGUCUUGGGACCGGGAGAGGCAAGAGGUACUUCAGGGGUAGGAGUGAAAUCCUGUAAUCCUUGAGGGACCGCCAGUGGCGAAGGCGUCUUGCUAGAACGGGUCCGACGGUGAGGGACGAAAGCUAGGGACACGAACCGGAUUAGAUACCCGGGUAGUCCUAGCCGUAAACGAUGCGAGCUAGGUGUCACGUGGAUUGCGAAUCCAUGUGGUGCCGAAGGGAAACCGUGAAGCUCGCCGCCUGGGAAGUACGGCCGCAAGGCUGAAACUUAAAGGAAUUGGCGGGGGAGCAC
RNAcentral lists this ribosomal RNA (553 nucleotides) under uncultured archaeon. Its description in RNAcentral is "bacterial SSU rRNA". It matches the Rfam family "Archaeal small subunit ribosomal RNA", at positions 325 to 879 of the family's 1478-position model. The record is from RNAcentral.